AACCAGCACCUCAAGUGGUCAGGAUGAUUAUUGGGCCUAAAGCAUCCGUAGCCCGUUUGUUAAGUUUACGGUUUAAGUACACUGCGCUUAACGUAUGGGCUGCCGGGAAUACUGCAUAACUAGGAAGUGGGAGAGGUAGACGGUACUCGGUAGGAAGGGGUAAAAUCCUUUGAUCUAUUGAUGACCACCUGUGGCGAAGGCGGUCUACCAGAACACGUUCGACGGUGAGGGAUGAAAGCUGGGGGAGC
Molecule: ribosomal RNA, 248 nt
Filed under: uncultured bacterium
Lineage: Bacteria
Description: partial 16S ribosomal RNA
Rfam family: Archaeal small subunit ribosomal RNA
Source: RNAcentral